Molecule: ribosomal RNA, 500 nt
Filed under: uncultured bacterium
Lineage: Bacteria
Description: partial 16S ribosomal RNA
Rfam family: Bacterial small subunit ribosomal RNA
Source: RNAcentral
AUUGAACGCUGGCGGCAUGCUUUACACAUGCAAGUCGAACGGUAACAGGGUGCUUGCACCGCUGACGAGUGGCGAACGGGUGAGUAAUGCGUCGGAACGUGCCGAGUAGUGGGGGAUAACGCAGCGAAAGUUGUGCUAAUACCGCAUACGUACUGAGGUAGAAAGUGGGGGACCUUCGGGCCUCACGCUAUUCGAGCGGCCGACGUCUGAUUAGCUAGUAGGUGGGGUAAAGGCUCACCUAGGCGACGAUCAGUAGCGGGUCUGAGAGGAUGAUCCGCCACACUGGGACUGAGACACGGCCCAGACUCCUACGGGAGGCAGCAGUGGGGAAUUUUGGACAAUGGGCGAAAGCCUGAUCCAGCCAUGCCGCGUGUCUGAAGAAGGCCUUCGGGUUGUAAAGGACUUUUGUCAGGGAGGAAAUCCCUAGUGCUAAUAACACUGGGGGAUGACAGUACCUGAAAAAUAAGCACCGGCUAACUACGUGCCAGCCGCCGCGGUAA